UACGUAGGGGGCAAGCGUUGUCCGGAAUCAUUGGGCGUAAAGCGCGUGUAGGCGGUCCGGUAAGUCGGCUGUGAAAGUCCAGGGCUCAACCCUGGGAUGCCGGUCGAUACUGCCGGACUAGAGUUCGGAAGAGGCGAGUGGAAUUCCCGGUGUAGCGGUGAAAUGCGCAGAUAUCGGGAGGAACACCUAUGGCGAAGGCAGCUCGCUGGGACGUUACUGACGCUGAGACGCGAAAGCGUGGGGAGCGAACAGG
Molecule: ribosomal RNA, 253 nt
Filed under: uncultured bacterium
Lineage: Bacteria
Description: partial 16S ribosomal RNA
Rfam family: Bacterial small subunit ribosomal RNA
Source: RNAcentral